AAGCAAUGCUUAGAUUAGCCAUGCAUGUCUAAGUAUAAACAAAUUCAUACUGUGAAACUGCGAAUGGCUCAUUAAAUCAGUUAUAGUUUAUUUGAUGGUACCUUACUACAUGGAUAACUGUGGUAAUUCUAGAGCUAAUACAUGCUGAAAAGCCCCGACUUCUGGAAGGGGUGUAUUUAUUAGAUAAAAAACCAAUGAGGGCAACCUCUUGCGUUGAUUCAUGAUAACUUCUCGAAUCGCAUGGCCUUGUGCCGGCGAUGCUUCAUUCAAAUAUCUGCCCUAUCAGACUUUCGAUGGUACGGUAGUGGCCUACCAUGGUUUUGACGGGUAACGGGGAAUAAGGGUUCGAUUCCGGAGAGAGGGCCUGAGAAACGGCCCUCAGUCCUAAGGGACGCAGCAGGCGCGCAAAUUAUCCCAUCCCGACACGGGGAGAUAGUGACAAUAAAUAACAAUAUAGGGCUCUUUUGGGUCUUAUAAUUGGAAUGAGUACAAUUUAAAUCCCUUAACGAGGAUCAAUUGGAGGGCAAGUCUGGUGAACGUAAGAUUCCUUUACCGGCUUCUGACGCCAGAGAUAGUAGGCAGCUUCCGGCUGUAACCCUACUAGUCGAGUUCACACAACAGUGUUGGGUGUGGACCGGCGAGGUAACCUGGUACGGGGAAACCUAACGCUUCUUAGGAAGUUAUGGUAAUCCCGUGGCGAGCCGAGUUGCAGCGAUGUAACUCAUUAGGCCGUCGUAACGCGCGCUAAGGUACCGGUCAAGUCUACGACUUGGCUCAAGGGACGUGCUAUUCCCACCGGAAACGGUGUUCUCUGUUGGAGCUCCCAACAAGUAAAGACAGAGAAAGGACGAUGGUUGUAGAGGAAAUACUACAACAUGUCAAGUCCGGUAUUUGAAAUACAGAAACAAACAUAAAGGCCAGCAGCCGCGGUAAUUCCAGCUCCAAUAGCGUAUAUUAAAGUUGUUGCCGUUAAAAAGCUCGUAGUCGAACUUCGGCCUCUGCCGCCCGGUCCGCCUAUUUGGGUGUGUACUGGAGCGGUGGAGGCUUACCUCGUGGUGAGCGGCGAUGUUCUUUACUGGGCGUCGUCGGGAACCAUGACUUUUACUUUGAAAAAAUUAGAGUGUUCAAAGCAGGCUUACGCCCGAAUACAUUAGCAUGGAAUAAUAAAAUAGGACGUGCGGUCCUAUUUUGUUGGUUUCUAGGAUCGCCGUAAUGAUUAAUAGGGAUAGUUGGGGGCAUUCGUAUUCAAUUGCUAGAGGUGAAAUUCUUGGAUUUAUUGAAGACGAACUACUGCGAAAGCAUUUGCCAAGGAUGUUUUCAUUGAUCAAGAACGAAGGUUAGGGGAUCGAAAACGAUCAGAUACCGUUGUAGUCUUAACAGUAAACGAUGCCGACUAGGGAUCGGACGAGGAUUUUUAAUGACUCGUUCGGCACCUGAAGAGAAAUCUUUAAGUCUAGGUUCGGGGGGGAGUAUGGUCGCAAGGCUGAAACUUAAAGGAAUUGACGGAAGGGCACCACCAUGGUGUAAACAUUGUUUCAACUACAAGCCGUAGUUAACUCUGCACCUAAAAGCGGCCCCUAAUAGGGUUUGGUGGGUCCAAUCAACAACGCUAGUGGCUGUUUACAGCUGCAAGACUUUCGAACUGCGGGAAACUCCUAAAGCCCUCUAACCCCAAGUUACAAUCUGAAAAGAUGUAAUGGCGUGGCUAACUACCACGGUAUGGGAAUAGCGUAGAGGGAUGCGCCAAUGGACAAUCCGCAUCGAAGCCCCGUGUUCAGUGCAAACUGUAGGGGAACGUUCAGAGACUAGGUGGAAGUCGGUCCUUUAAUAGGGCUUAAGGGUAUAGUCCGAUCCAUUAUCGAAAGAUAGUGCACGCAUAGGCAAUCCAAAAAGGGAGCCUGCGGCUUAAUUUGACUCAACACGGGGAAACUCACCAGGUCCAGACACGACAGGAUUGACAGAUGAUAGCUCUUUCUGAUUUCGUGUUGGGUGGUGCAUGACCGUUCUAGUGUGAGUGAUUUGUCUGGUACUCCGAUACGACGAGACUACUGCUAAUAGCCCGCGACUUGUGUCGCUGCUCUAAGACUAUCGCACAGCGAUGAAGUUGAGCUAUACAGGUCUGUUGAUGCC
RNAcentral lists this ribosomal RNA (2130 nucleotides) under Sakaguchia meli. Its description in RNAcentral is "partial 18S ribosomal RNA". It matches the Rfam family "Eukaryotic small subunit ribosomal RNA", at positions 28 to 1471 of the family's 1831-position model. The record is from RNAcentral. Lineage: Eukaryota; Fungi; Basidiomycota; Cystobasidiomycetes; Sakaguchiales; Sakaguchiaceae.